ACUUAAGGAGUGUGUUUGCUGUAAAUAUGGACGUAAAUCUAUAUGUAGGCUUUAUGUGGAAGACUGGCUGUGCAAGAAGAACUGCUUGUCCAUAAAGAAACCUAUGGAUAUGA
Salvia hispanica is the source of this 113-nucleotide small nucleolar RNA. Lineage: Eukaryota; Viridiplantae; Streptophyta; Magnoliopsida; Lamiales; Lamiaceae. The record is from RefSeq and is a predicted model, not a curated record.